GCCGAUGUGGCGCAAUUGGUAGCGCACCCGACUUGUAAUCGGAAGGUUGCGGGUUCAAGUCCCGCCGUCGGCUC
This 74-nucleotide transfer RNA is filed under the name Dactylosporangium vinaceum subsp. matsuzakiense. Its description in RNAcentral is "Dactylosporangium matsuzakiense tRNA-Thr". It matches the Rfam family "tRNA". From Rfam's summary of the family: Transfer RNA (tRNA) molecules are approximately 80 nucleotides in length. Their secondary structure includes four short double-helical elements and three loops (D, anti-codon, and T loops). Further hydrogen bonds mediate the characteristic L-shaped molecular structure. tRNAs have two regions of fundamental functional importance: the anti-codon, which is responsible for specific mRNA codon recognition, and the 3' end, to which the tRNAs corresponding amino acid is attached (by aminoacyl-tRNA synthetases). tRNAs cope with the degeneracy of the genetic code in two manners: having more than one tRNA (with a specific anti-codon) for a particular amino acid; and 'wobble' base-pairing, i.e. permitting non-standard base-pairing at the 3rd anti-codon position. Lineage: Bacteria; Bacillati; Actinomycetota; Actinomycetes; Micromonosporales; Micromonosporaceae. The record is from RNAcentral. RNAcentral also lists the same sequence under 1 other name.